RNAcentral lists this non-coding RNA (22 nucleotides) under Arabidopsis thaliana (thale cress). Lineage: Eukaryota; Viridiplantae; Streptophyta; Magnoliopsida; Brassicales; Brassicaceae. The record is from RNAcentral.
UUAAAGAUGAUUCAGGCCAGUC